GUUUUUCAUUACAGAAGUUUGGGAUGUAUAACAAACUUCAUACGUUUUUAUAAAUAUUUUGGAUCUCAAGGAGGGCAAAUACACCCUGGGAGACAUUUUGUUUAGCUGAAAAGCAAGUCUUCCAUAAACCACAGGGAUCUUUGCCCAUUAUGAGGGAUGGAGGUGUGAGCCAGAAAUCUCCCCGAGCUGCCCUGCUCUUCGGGGUUGUGUUUUGUGUGCUGAGCUGGGCAUUUUUCCUUGCUCUCUGCAAUAUCCCAGGCAAGUGCAAAUCUCCCCCUCAAAGCUGAAAACGUUGUGGAUGUACCUUUAUCUGCCACACAGUCAGGUUUUAUUCUUUAUUCAUUUCUCUUGGGAAGGACAGGCUGGCCAGCUGGUCCUGGGUAAGAUCAAACUUUUAUGUAAAAUGAUGUUUUCUCAGGGAAUAAAAGAUGAAGGAGAGUGAAAGGAAAAGGUGCAGACACAGAGACCACAAGCUGGGCAGACCCUGCACUGGCGGAUGUGCACGAGAACCAAAGCCACCUCAGCAGGGCUGGGGAUGUGCCUCUACAAGUCACUGCCAGCACCAUGGGAGCAUCCCUUGAUGCAGGAGCAUCCUUGAUGCUGGCAAUGCGGGACCAUCCUUCCAAUUCCUCCUGACAUUUUCUCUUAGGCUUUUGCAGGAUUUUCAUUGUGACAUUGAAUGUGCCAAAAAGAAAUGUGCCAAAGGAACCCUGACCAAGCUGGGUAGUCUCCACAGCCACUCCAUUUUGCACUGCUGUGCCAGUGAGCACCAGUCUGAGCAAACUCCCCAUGUCCCAAAAUAACAAUGCUGCUGCCAAGGUGGCCAACACUGAGGACCUGUCCAGGGUGCAGUGGGAUGUGGGAGGGAUGUUCAAGGGUGCAGAGGAUCUCACCUGCAGUCUGUGCAAGUGGGGAGGCAACUGCUGCCAUCCGCUACAGCAGCUCCCUGCUGCUGGCCAUCAUGGCACAGGGCUCUGAACCAGGCAAAAACCAAUCUCUAAAACAAGUCACCUGAGGAGAGUAAAACCUGAGCCUUAAAGAGGAGGCUGAGCUGGAAAAAGUGCAAUUCAUACGUGGACUAAGCAUCAUCAGAUGCAUCUAUGGACUAAGCACCAUUAGAUGCGGGUGAGAAGCAAAGGCAUUAAAAAGGAGGUUAAACAUAGGUCUUUAAGGGUGGGUUUCCAUCACUAGACAGACGUGAGCCCGCUAGUGCUGUGAGAUACCCCACAGGAGCUUUUAGCAGAGAGCUGGCAAGGGAAGCAGUGAGCCGCAGCCAGUGUAAUUCCCCUUGUAAAUCUGCCUCUGUGUUGGAAAGAGUAAGGCUGGAAAUAGCCAGCUGGAAAAAAUCCCCAGAGCACUGAGUAAAAGCUCACCAUGCAAUUAGCGUCACUCAUACACAUCACCCACACUGACACAGCCCAGUCUGGGUGCAUGGCACUGCCUCGGGGUGAAAUAGGCUGCUGCCAUCACUGCCCUUUGACAGAGGGGAAACUGAGGCACGGCCGCUGGCUCACCUUGGUCCAAAGUCAGGAAUUUGCUUUUCUUAAUAAUUUCCUAAUUGGCCUGAUGGGAGAACAUGUGUACAGGAUUUGGGGAAUACAGACCACAGUCCUGCUCUCUGCUUCUUGCUGGAAACAGCCCUUUUUACAUCAGCAAUGUGACAUCAGCAUAGGGAGAAUGGCUUUUAGCACAGGCUGGGCCAUCAAAUUUAAAAGGAAUAUAACAAUAAACAGUAAAGGAAAGUUGGCUGUUUAAAAGACUGAAGCCAGCUUUGAAAUAAUUUUCUAAAAAAAGAGACGUCCACACUCCAUAAAUUAAGAACUGGAAGACUGUAUGACAAUAACAGCAUCAAGAAUAUAAUUUAGUCCAUUUUCCUCACAUGGUUUCCAGACUAAUGGCUGAGGCAGGACACCAGUAAAGAGAUCCCUAAAUUCAGCUUUCAUUUCUACCUCUGAACUGGCACAUAACACCACAGGAGCCCUGUAGAAAGGCCUAACCUCCAGAAAAGCUCAAUGCAAAAGUCCAUCUGCCCUUGGAAAAAACAGCUAACUCCAUCCGAGCCUCUGCGUUGUCACAGGAGACAUCUCCCAGUCGUCAGCAGAGACAACUGAGACAUGAAAACCUUUCUUCACCUGCCAAACAUUGCAAACAGAAUUACCUUUUGAUGCAAGCAUUUCUACUGAGGCCUUGGGGUGUGGGGUUUUUUUUUUGACUCGUAAGAUCUUCCGGAGAGCAAUGCCAGCGGAAAAAUAGCCGCUCAAAAUGAAACUGAAAGUUGUUCUGUUUCCCUUCCUUUGUAUAAGCUUUGCAAAUUAUUGCUAAAUCUUCACAUCCUCAGCUUCUUUGAAUGUCACUAGUGCUGGGAAAGGCUUCUCUUAGCCUGUGUUUUGCCACUGACGUGGUUUAGCCUAGUAAUGUCAUACCCAUCACACCUUAAUUCUGACCAAGCCUGUGGAGAUGGCAAUGAAGCUGCCACCAUGAAAGAUGAGAGCAGCCUCACAAAGAAAAAAAAACUUCCAGCCAGCCCUAAUUAAGUUCUGCUUUGUCCUGAUGAAGCACAUUUCUAGAGCUGGAUUUUCAAAGCCCUUACGUCUGCUGCAGCAUCCCUCCCCAAAUGGCUGGAAGACACCCUCAGAGGGCUGGCUAGCACCGAUCACCUUUGGAAGCCCUCACAGGCAAGGAGACUGCGUGCAAAGGAGGACUGUGAGAGCUGACACCAUGCCUCUGACCACCUGCCCCCAGGAAAGCCGCCAAGAGCUUGGCUGAAGAAAACGUUUCCUUUCAGUUUGAGAAAACAAGGGAUUUAGACUCUGUGUUCAAUAGGAGUGAGAAGCCCUCACCUCACACCUAAAUCCAGCAGCUUCUUCAUCAGGGAAGAGAGAGGAAACGUAGUCCCAUGGUGAGUCCUUAACAGGGCUGACACACCAGCUCCUUUUGGGGAUGGAUGGAUGGACCUUAACCAUCUACUAUGCAUCCUCCUGCUAGUUUUGGUUCUCCCUGCAAAUGUGGGCAACUGGCCGUACCCAUGUAGUGCUCAAGUCCUGGUAAGGAAUGCCCUUUGGGAUGCAAUGUCCUGGGCAUCCCCUUUUUGCACCAGGACCUGUCCUGUUGCUUACUGGCACUAAGGGACAACGUCUCCCCUCCUCUAGCUCAUCGGUACCACCUAAGACCACAUUAAACACCAACCACACACAGGUGUAAAACCUCAGAAAGAAGACAGCUGAGUAUAAAACUGGAAAUACAAUUACAAAAACACCUUCACAAUCAUAUGCAAAAAAAACCCCAAAACAUCAGCACAUACCUGAAGCCUUUCUCUGCUUCCAGCUGUCUCCUAAGGUUCCCUGUCCCUAAGCGCUGCCUACCUGAACUGCCCCCAUCCCUGGGUUUCUGUUCACUGCUUCUCAGCACUUAUUGAACAUAAAUAAAGCCUGGAGCCUCCUCCUGCUGUUUCCCUUCUAGUGCAGGGCCUUGCCUGUCCUGGAAAGACAAACAGAGCCCCUUUUUGUGUGCCCAGCUCUCUUCAGAGCUGA
This is a long non-coding RNA of Falco peregrinus (peregrine falcon), 3530 nucleotides long. RefSeq lists it as uncharacterized. The transcript is spliced from 3 exons. The record is from RefSeq and is a predicted model, not a curated record. NCBI's taxonomy places the organism in Eukaryota, Metazoa, Chordata, Aves, Falconiformes, Falconidae.